UGGACAGAUUGUUGUAUUCGACUGUGUUCACGGCGUGAAACAGGGGAUUACACUGUUUUUAAAUGGAAAGUGAAUCAAUUAACAUAAUAGACUCCU
Nicotiana attenuata is the source of this 96-nucleotide microRNA precursor. It matches the Rfam family "MIR6152 microRNA precursor family". NCBI's taxonomy places the organism in Eukaryota, Viridiplantae, Streptophyta, Magnoliopsida, Solanales, Solanaceae. The record is from Rfam.